UACGGGGGGGGCAAGCGUUGUUCGGAAUUACUGGGCGUAAAGGGCUCGUAGGCGGCCAACUAAGUCAGACGUGAAAUCCCCAGGCUCAACCUGGGAACUGCGUCUGAUACUGGAUGGCUUGAAUUCGGGAGAGGGAUGCAGAAUUCCAGGUGUAGCGGUGAAAUGCGUAGAUAUCAGGAGGAACACCGGUGGCGAAGGCGGGUCUCUGGGCCGUAACUGACGCUGAGGAGCGAAAGCGUGGGGAGCGAACAGG
Molecule: ribosomal RNA, 253 nt
Filed under: uncultured bacterium
Lineage: Bacteria
Description: partial 16S ribosomal RNA
Rfam family: Bacterial small subunit ribosomal RNA
Source: RNAcentral